CAGUCGCCGCGGUAAGACAGAGGAUGCAAGCGUUAUCCGGAAUGAUUGGGCGUAAAGCGAGCGCAGGCGGUUAGAUAAGUCUGAAGUUAAAGGCUGUGGCUUAACCAUAGUACGCUUUGGAAACUGUUUAACUUGAGUGCAAGAGGGGAGAGUGGAAUUCCAUGUGUAGCGGUGAAAUGCGUAGAUAUAUGGAGGAACACCGGUGGCGAAAGCGGCUCUCUGGCUUGUAACUGACGCUGAGGCUCGAAAGCGUGGGGAGCAAACAGGAUUAGAUACCCCCGUAGUCCCUGUCUCUUAUACA
Molecule: ribosomal RNA, 301 nt
Filed under: uncultured bacterium
Lineage: Bacteria
Description: partial 16S ribosomal RNA
Rfam family: Bacterial small subunit ribosomal RNA
Source: RNAcentral